UGAUGAUGGUGAGGGAAAUUUCUGAGCUUACUUUUGAAUCUCUCCUAAGCUUGGUAAAGAUUCCCUCAUUCUUUCUAUCUAAAACUUAAAAUCUCACUUCUCAAAUG
Non-coding RNA from Capsicum annuum, 107 nucleotides. The record is from Rfam. NCBI's taxonomy places the organism in Eukaryota, Viridiplantae, Streptophyta, Magnoliopsida, Solanales, Solanaceae.